RNAcentral lists this long non-coding RNA (894 nucleotides) under Numida meleagris (helmeted guineafowl). Its description in RNAcentral is "lncRNA (ENSNMEG00000017532.1)". The record is from RNAcentral. Lineage: Eukaryota; Metazoa; Chordata; Aves; Galliformes; Numididae.
GUUUUCAUCGUUGGGGAUAUUUAAGAGAUGUGUGGAUGUGGUACUAAGGGAUAUGGUUUAGUGAUGGGACUCAGUUGGACUCAAUGACCUUGAAGGUAAUUUCCAACUAAAUGAGUCUAUGAUUCCACAUUUAUGUAAGCAAUUGAUGUUUUUUUUUUAGAUUCAAUUGAGUUGAAAAAUUGGAAGAGCAUCAUAAGGAUCAGGUCACCUUCAAAUGCCUUUGUACCUUAUUUAAGCUAAAAGAGACAAAAAGAAAAAGAAAAAAAGAAAAAAGAAGAGUAGAAAGAUGAAGAAUGUUCCUGGUGUCAUGUAAUUGCAUGGUAGCUGUUACCAGAAAGGCAUGUAUGCAGGAACUGGGAUCUGCUGAUGUGUAUCUGAAUUUCACUCUGAUAUUGUGAGAAGGCAUGAAACCAAUGUUAUGUGAAAGCAAUUUGAAAUUAAUUUCUUUGCUAUAUUGUCUCCCACCUCCCUGGUCAAAUUCCUCCUUGCACUUGGAAAGGCACAGUGGGAAAGUAGCAGCUUGUUGACAAGUAUUUGCCACAGAGGUAUAUGACUACUCAAAUUCCAACUCUUAAGAGAACAUUGAGGCUCAAGAGCUUCCCAGAACUGAACAUAUUCCUUACAAAGCAUCAAUGUCUGAAGGUACCUGCAAGAGAGUCAAAACUUAAAGAUGCAAUAUGAACCUUAAGGAAAGUUUUUCUACAUUUGGAAAUGCUUCAGGGCAAUGUGAGCUGAGUAGUUACUGCGUGCUGGGGACUGUUUCCAGAAAUACGGAGUUCUGGAUGUUUAUCACACAGAGCAGCUGAAGUGAGCUUUCAGGAAGGUCUGUAAUAAGCAACAGAUAAGGACACAUCUAGAAGAAUAAAUCAUCACCUUUUCAUUUAAGAGAAAGCA